Molecule: ribosomal RNA, 291 nt
Filed under: Triticum aestivum (bread wheat)
Lineage: Eukaryota; Viridiplantae; Streptophyta; Magnoliopsida; Poales; Poaceae
Description: partial small subunit ribosomal RNA
Source: RNAcentral
GAAGGGUGGAGCGGUACGUCCGUCGCUCGGGUGAUGCUUAGCCGUAUCCCUCCAGCUUGUCGAUGUCCAAUGAUGAAGAUGUCUGGCCUCGUCGGCUCAGACAAAUGGGUAGCCUUCGCCUCGUCGGUGCCCGACCUCAUGGUGUCCGCCUCGUCGGUCGGACUGGGUGUCUUGCCUUCGCCUCAUUGGUGCCCGACAAGAUAUGGAUAGUUUCAUCGGAGAAAGACAUGUCGGUGAAGUGGUUUCACCUCGUCGGAGCUUGGUCGAUGUUGAGGAAGAGUGUUGAUAUAG